This 63-nucleotide small nucleolar RNA is filed under the name Catagonus wagneri (Chacoan peccary). RNAcentral's name for it is "Small nucleolar RNA SNORD58 (ENSCWAG00000018692.1)". It matches the Rfam family "Small nucleolar RNA SNORD58". From Rfam's summary of the family: snoRNA U58 is found in introns 1, 3 and 6 of the ribosomal protein RPL17 gene in humans. U58 is a member of the C/D class of snoRNA which contain C (UGAUGA) and D (CUGA) box motifs. The record is from Rfam by way of RNAcentral. Lineage: Eukaryota; Metazoa; Chordata; Mammalia; Artiodactyla; Tayassuidae.
CUGCGAUGCUGGCAUUUCUUUGGACACGUUUGGAUUAAUCGUGACAAUUACUUUCGGAGCAGC